RNAcentral lists this non-coding RNA (45 nucleotides) under Schistosoma mattheei. The record is from RNAcentral. Lineage: Eukaryota; Metazoa; Platyhelminthes; Trematoda; Strigeidida; Schistosomatidae.
AUCCAGUUGACGAGUCCCAAGUAGGACGAAACGCGAGUCCUGCAU